Molecule: ribosomal RNA, 447 nt
Filed under: uncultured bacterium
Lineage: Bacteria
Description: bacterial SSU rRNA
Rfam family: Bacterial small subunit ribosomal RNA
Source: RNAcentral
GAUCAUGGCUCAGAACGAACGCUGGGCGGCAGGCCUAACACAUGCAAGUCGAGCGAACCCUUCGGGGUUAGCGGCGGACGGGUUAGUAACGCGUGGGAAUAUACCCUUUGGUACGGAAUAGCCUCGGGAAACUGAGAGUAAUACCGUAUGUGCCCUUCGGGGGAAAGAUUUAUCGCCAAAGGAUUAGCCCGCGUUGGAUUAGAUAGUUGGUGGGGUAAUGGCCUACCAAGUCUACGAUCCAUAGCUGGUUUGAGAGGAUGAUCAGCAACACUGGGACUGAGACACGGCCCAGACUCCUACGGGAGGCAGCAGUGGGGAAUCUUAGACAAUGGGCGCAAGCCUGAUCUAGCCAUGCCGCGUGGACGACGAAGGCCUUAGGGUUGUAAAGUCCUUUCAGAUGGGAAGAUAAUGACGGUACCAUCAGAAGAAGCCCCGGCUAACUCCGUG